Molecule: ribosomal RNA, 497 nt
Filed under: uncultured bacterium
Lineage: Bacteria
Description: partial 16S ribosomal RNA
Rfam family: Bacterial small subunit ribosomal RNA
Source: RNAcentral
GAUGAACGCUGGCGGCGUGCCUAAUACAUGCAAGUCGAGCGAACAGACGAGGAGCUUGCUCCUCUGACGUUAGCGGCGGACGGGUGAGUAACACGUGGAUAACCUACCUAUAAGACUGGGAUAACUUCGGGAAACCGGAGCUAAUACCGGAUAAUAUAUUGAACCGCAUGGUUCAAUAGUGAAAGACGGUUUUGCUGUCACUUAUAGAUGGAUCUGCGCCGCAUUAGCUAGUUGGUAAGGUAACGGCUUACCAAGGCAACGAUGCGUAGCCGACCUGAGAGGGUGAUCGGCCACAUGAGAACGGAAACACGGUCCAUGCUCCUGCGAGAGGCAGCAGAAGGGAAUCUGCCGCAAUGGGCGAAAGCCUGACGGAGCGACGCCGAGUGAGUGAUGAAGGUCUUCGGUUCGUAAAACUCUGUUAUUAGGGAAGAACAAAUGUGUAAGUAACUAUGCACGUCUUGACGGUACCUAAUCAGAAAGCAACGGCUAACUACGUG